GGUUAAGCGACUAAGCGUACACGGUGGAUGCCCUGGCAGUCAGAGGCGAUGAAGGACGUGCUAAUCUGCGAUAAGCGCCGGUAAGGUGAUAUGAACCGUUAUAACCGGCGAUUUCCGAAUGGGGAAACCCAGUGUGACUCGUCACACUAUCAUUAACUGAAUCCAUAGGUUAAUGAGGCGAACCGGGGGAACUGAAACAUCUAAGUACCCCGAGGAAAAGAAAUCAACCGAGAUUCACCAGUAGCGGCGAGCGAACGGGGAGGAGCCCAGAGCCUGAAUCAGCAUGUGUGUUAGUGGAAGCGUCUGGAAAGGCGCGCGAUACAGGGUGACAGCCCCGUACACAAAAGCGCAUGUGCUGUGAGCUCGAUGAGUAGGGCGGGACACGUGGUAUCCUGUCUGAAUAUGGGGGGACCAUCCUCCAAGGCUAAAUACUCCUGACUGACCGAUAGUGAACCAGUACCGUGAGGGAAAGGCGAAAAGAACCCCGGCGAGGGGAGUGAAAAAGAACCUGAAACCGUGUACGUACAAGCAGUGGGAGCACAGGUUUACCUGUGUGACUGCGUACCUUUUUGUAUAAUGGGUCAGCGACUUAUAUUCUGUAGCAAGGUUAACCGAAUAGGGGAGCCGGAGGGAAACCGAGUCUUAACCGGGCGUUAAGUUGCAGGGUAUAGACCCGAAACCCGGUGAUCUAGCCAUGGGCAGGUUGAAGGUUGGGUAACACUAACUGGAGGACCGAACCGACUAAUGUUGAAAAAUUAGCGGAUGACCUGUGGCUGGGGGUGAAAGGCCAAUCAAACCGGGAGAUAGCUGGUUCUCCCCGAAAGCUAUUUAGGUAGCGCCUCGUGAAUUCAUCUCCGGGGGUAGAGCACUGUUUCGGCUAGGGGGCCAUCCCGGCUUACCAACCCGAUGCAAACUGCGAAUACCGGAGAAUGUUAUCACGGGAGACACACGGCGGGUGCUAACGUCCGUCGUGAAGAGGGAAACAACCCAGACCGCCAGCUAAGGUCCCAAAGUCAUGGUUAAGUGGGAAACGAUGUGGGAAGGCCCAGACAGCCAGGAUGUUGGCUUAGAAGCAGCCAUCAUUUAAAGAAAGCGUAAUAGCUCACUGGUCGAGUCGGCCUGCGCGGAAGAUGUAACGGGGCUAAACCAUGCACCGAAGCUGCGGCAGCGAACGUAUCACUUAAAGCGAUUCAGCGGGUUACGAUUGACGGAGCGAAGCGACGUCAAAGCGUAUACAAAGUCGAGUCGGUUUAAGGAUACGUUCGUUGGGUAGGGGAGCGUUCUGUAAGCCUGUGAAGGUGUGUCGUGAGGCAUGCUGGAGGUAUCAGAAGUGCGAAUGCUGACAUAAGUAACGAUAAAGCGGGUGAAAAGCCCGCUCGCCGGAAGACCAAGGGUUCCUGUCCAACGUUAAUCGGGGCAGGGUGAGUCGACCCCUAAGGCGAGGCCGAAAGGCGUAGUCGAUGGGAAACGGGUUAAUAUUCCCGUACUUGGUGUUACUGCGAAGGGGGGGACGGAGAAAGCUAUGUUGGCCGGGCGACGGUUGUCCCGGUUUAAGCGUGUAGGUGUGUGUUCCAGGUAAAUCCGGUUCACUUUAACACUGAGGCGUGAUGACGAGGCACUACGGUGCUGAAGCAACAAAUGCCCUGCUUCCAGGAAAAGCCUCUAAGCAUCAGGUAACAUCAAAUCGUACCCCAAACCGACACAGGUGGUCAGGUAGAGAAUACCAAGGCGCUUGAGAGAACUCGGGUGAAGGAACUAGGCAAAAUGGUGCCGUAACUUCGGGAGAAGGCACGCUGACAUGUAGGUGAAGUGAUUUACUCAUGGAGCUGAAGUCAGUCGAAGAUACCAGCUGGCUGCAACUGUUUAUUAAAAACACAGCACUGUGCAAACACGAAAGUGGACGUAUACGGUGUGACGCCUGCCCGGUGCCGGAAGGUUAAUUGAUGGGGUCAGCGCAAGCGAAGCUCCUGAUCGAAGCCCCGGUAAACGGCGGCCGUAACUAUAACGGUCCUAAGGUAGCGAAAUUCCUUGUCGGGUAAGUUCCGACCUGCACGAAUGGCGUAAUGAUGGCCAGGCUGUCUCCACCCGAGACUCAGUGAAAUUGAACUCGCUGUGAAGAUGCAGUGUACCCGCGGCAAGACGGAAAGACCCCGUGAACCUUUACUAUAGCUUGACACUGAACAUUGAGCCUUGAUGUGUAGGAUAGGUGGGAGGCUUUGAAGCGUGGACGCCAGUCUGCGUGGAGCCGACCUUGAAAUACCACCCUUUAAUGUUUGAUGUUCUAACGUGGGCCCGUAAUCCGGGUUGCGGACAGUGUCUGGUGGGUAGUUUGACUGGGGCGGUCUCCUCCUAAAGAGUAACGGAGGAGCACGAAGGUUGGCUAAUCCUGGUCGGACAUCAGGAGGUUAGUGCAAUGGCAUAAGCCAGCUUGACUGCGAGCGUGACGGCGCGAGCAGGUGCGAAAAGCAGGUCAUAGUGAUCCGGUGGUUCUGAAUGGAAGGGCCAUCGCUCAACGGAUAAAAAGGUACUCCGGGGAUAACAGGCUGAUACCGCCCAAGAGUUCAUAUCGACGGCGGUGUUUGGCACCUCGAUGUCGGCUCAUCACAUCCUGGGGCUGAAGUAGGUCCCAAGGGUAUGGCUGUUCGCCAUUUAAAGUGGUACGCGAGCUGGGUUUAGAACGUCGUGAGACAGUUCGAUUCCUAUCUGCCGUGGGCGCUGGAGAACUGAGGGGGGCUGCUCCUAGUACGAGAGGACCGGAGUGGACGCAUCACUGGUGUUCGGGUUGUCAUGCCAAUGGCACUGCCCGGUAGCUAAAUGCGGAAGAGAUAAGUGCUGAAAGCAUCUAAGCACGAAACUUGCCCCGAGAUGAGUUCUCCCUGAGACUUAGAGUCUCCUGAAGGAACGUUGAAGACGACGACGUUGAUAGGCCGGGUGUGUAAGCGCAGCGAUGCGUUGAGCUAACCGGUACUAAUGAACCGUGAGGCUUAACCUU
RNAcentral lists this ribosomal RNA (2992 nucleotides) under Salmonella enterica subsp. enterica serovar Infantis. RNAcentral describes it as "23S ribosomal RNA". It matches the Rfam family "Bacterial large subunit ribosomal RNA". Lineage: Bacteria; Pseudomonadati; Pseudomonadota; Gammaproteobacteria; Enterobacterales; Enterobacteriaceae. The record is from RNAcentral.